CCUACGGGAGGCAGCAGUGAGGCAUAUUGGUCAAUGGACGCAAGUCUGAACCAGCCCUGCCGCGUGCAGGAAGACGGCUCUAUGAGUUGUAAACUGCUUUUGUACGAGGGUAAACGCAGAUACGUGUAUAUGUCUGAAAGUAUCGUACGAAUAAGGAUCGGCUAACUCCGUGCCCGCAGCCGCGGUAAUACGGAGGAUUCAAGCGUUAUCCGGAUUUAUUGGGUUUAAAGGGUGCGUAGGCGGUCGGAUAAGUUAGAGGUGAAAUCCCGAGGCUCAACUUCGGAAUUGCCUCUGAUACUGUUCGGCUAUAGAGUAGUUGCGGUAGGCGGAAUGUAUGGUGUAGCGGUGAAAUGCUUAGAGAUCAUACAGAACACCGAUUGCGAAGGCAGCUUACCAAGCUACUUCGGACGUUGAGGCACGAAAGCGUGGGGAGCAAACAGGAUUAGAUACCCGAGUAGUC
RNAcentral lists this ribosomal RNA (460 nucleotides) under uncultured bacterium. RNAcentral's name for it is "partial 16S ribosomal RNA". It matches the Rfam family "Bacterial small subunit ribosomal RNA", at positions 338 to 795 of the family's 1533-position model. The record is from RNAcentral.